UGCCAAGACUGAUGAAUGGCAUUUUGUGAAAAUCUGUCCACACCAGAAAGACUGGGUAUCUGUCAUUCAGAGAUUCUGCUAGUGCCAUUUAAACAGGAGUCAAAAUAAUUGCCAGUGCUUUCAGUUGCUACCUGAAACAUUAUCAUUCCUAAAGAACCAGGAAGGAGUGAGAGACACUAAUGAGUAGGGAUUUUCUUCUGAGUAAACUACGGAACUGAACAGAGAAUGGAGUCAGUGGAGUCUCAUGCAGAGAUGAACCACAUGCAUCGGAUUUCAAGUAUAAGGAUUUACAUAUUACUUGGUACAUUAUUUGAAGUAAGAAACAAUGACAGUGUCUUAAAUGGG
Vidua chalybeata is the source of this 345-nucleotide long non-coding RNA. RefSeq lists it as uncharacterized. Lineage: Eukaryota; Metazoa; Chordata; Aves; Passeriformes; Viduidae. The record is from RefSeq and is a predicted model, not a curated record. The transcript has 3 exons.